ACUCAAAUGAAUAGACGGGGGCCCGCACAAGCGGUGGAGCAUGUGGUUUAAUUCGACGCAACGCGAAGAACCUUACCAGGUCUUGACAUCCUCUGAAAAGCCAAGAGAUUGGUGGUUUUGCCUUCGGGCAGACAGGGAGACAGGUGGUGCAUGGUUGUCGUCAGCUCGUGUCGUGAGAUGUUGGGUUAAGUCCCGCAACGAGCGCAACCCUUAUUCUUAGUUGCCAGCAGGUAGAGCUGGGCACUCUAAGGAGACUGCCGGUGACAAACCGGAGGAAGGUGGGGAUGACGUCAAAUCAUCAUGCCCUUUAUGACCUGGGCUACACACGUGCUACAAUGGCCUGUACAAAGGGUAGCGAAGCCGUGAGGCGGAGCCAAUCCCAAAAAGCAGGUCUCAGUUCGGAUUGCAGGCUGCAACUCGCCUGCAUGAAGUCGGAAUCGCUAGUAAUCGCAGGUCAGCAUACUGCGGUGAAUACGUUCCCGGGCCUUGUACACACCGCCCGU
This 503-nucleotide ribosomal RNA is filed under the name uncultured bacterium. Its description in RNAcentral is "bacterial SSU rRNA". It matches the Rfam family "Bacterial small subunit ribosomal RNA", at positions 899 to 1397 of the family's 1533-position model. The record is from RNAcentral.